UUGGAGGGCAAGUCUGGUGCCAGCAGCCGCGGUAAUUCCAGCUCCAAUAGCGUAUAUUAAAGUUGUUGCAGUUAAAAAGCUCGUAGUUGAAUUUCGGGGUUAGUAGGUUGGUCAUGCCUCUGGUAUGUACUGGUCUCACUGAUUCCUCCUUCCUUAUGAACCGUAAUGCCAUUAAUUUGGUGUUGCGGGGAAUUUGGACUGUUACUUUGAAAAAAUUGAGUGUUUAAAGCAAGCUAACGCUUGAAUACAUUAGCAUGGAAUAAUAGAAAUAGGACG
RNAcentral lists this ribosomal RNA (276 nucleotides) under uncultured Glomus. RNAcentral describes it as "partial 18S ribosomal RNA". It matches the Rfam family "Eukaryotic small subunit ribosomal RNA", at positions 548 to 830 of the family's 1831-position model. The record is from RNAcentral. Lineage: Eukaryota; Fungi; Glomeromycota; Glomeromycetes; Glomerales; Glomeraceae.